Bombus pascuorum is the source of this 645-nucleotide long non-coding RNA. RefSeq lists it as uncharacterized. The record is from RefSeq and is a predicted model, not a curated record. NCBI's taxonomy places the organism in Eukaryota, Metazoa, Arthropoda, Insecta, Hymenoptera, Apidae. The transcript is spliced from 3 exons.
UGACAUCUGACUCUAAGGGACGAUCAGAGAAAACGUCGAAGUCAAAAAAUUGUGGGUACAAGCACUGCUGAAAGAAACAGGAGAUUGGACGUUGGUCUGUGUUGAAGAAAACGCUUCUGGGUCGCGGAGAUAAUCUUGUCUGGAGCUGAAACAACACCUCUCUUCUCUUUCUCUUCAUCUCUCGUUACAAGACGUCGGUGAAAAAUGCCUGUCAUCAUAGGAUGCACGAAAGAGAACAAUUGCAAAAAGCUUGCAUUUUUAAAAGCCAAGAUGCUUGAACAAGCUCGGGCCGCAGAGAAGAGCAAAAGCAACGAGGUGGGUGCUAGCUCGAAGGAACCCAUGAAAACGCCUCCCCUGCGUUCCACCGACGCCGAGUCGAACCGCGAGUCAAGAAUCGUGGAACAGCUGGAGGACGAAGAAGUCGAGCAAGGACCGAUCGAAGGGGCCGAGGUUCCAGCUGAACUUCGCGAAACAGCUGGCCAAGCUGAAGGAACGAAUAACGAAGACCCGACUGACGCCUAGGGCAUUUGAAAAUUCAUCAGCACCAGCCAAGAAUACUAUCAAAGAAAGGAAGAAGGAAGAACUUGACCACAGAGCAGAAAUCUUGGCAACCGAUCCUCGAAGGGACGCUCCUAAUUUACUGAC